GAUGGAGCCCGCCGCGUGAGUGAUGAAGGCUUUCGGCUCGUAAAACUCUGUUGUUAAAGAAGAACGUAUCUGAGAGUAACUGUUCUUAUAGUGACGGUAUUUAACCAGAAAGCCACGGCUAACUACCUGCCACCAGCCGCGUAUAAU
Molecule: ribosomal RNA, 147 nt
Filed under: uncultured bacterium
Lineage: Bacteria
Description: partial 16S ribosomal RNA
Rfam family: Bacterial small subunit ribosomal RNA
Source: RNAcentral